UGGGGAAUAUUGCACAAUGGGCGCAAGCCUGAUGCAGCCAUGCCGCGUGUGUGAAGAAGGCCUUCGGGUUGUAAAGCACUUUCAGCGGGGAGGAAGGCGUUAAGGUUAAUAACCUUGGCGAUUGACGUUACCCGCAGAAGAAGCACCGGCUAACUCCGUGCCAGCAGCCGCGAUAAUACGGAGGGUGCAAGCGUUAAUCGGAAUUACUGGGCGUAAAGCGCACGCAGGCGGUCUGUCAAGUCGGAUGUGAAAUCCCCGGGCUCAACCUGGGAACUGCAUUCGAAACUGGCAGGCUAGAGUCUUGUAGAGGGGGGUAGAAUUCCAGGUGUAGCGGUGAAAUGCGUAGAGAUCUGGAGGAAUACCGGUGGCGAAGGCGGCCCCCUGGACAAAGACUGACGCUCAGGUGCGAAAGCGUGGGGAGCAAACAGG
Molecule: ribosomal RNA, 429 nt
Filed under: Chloroflexota bacterium
Lineage: Bacteria; Bacillati; Chloroflexota
Description: Chloroflexi bacterium partial 16S ribosomal RNA
Rfam family: Bacterial small subunit ribosomal RNA
Source: RNAcentral